CGCGUAGGUGGUUAUGUAAGAUUGAUGUGAAAUCCCUGGGCUUAACCUAGGAACUGCGUCGAUGACUGCAUAGCUGGAGUACUGUAGAGGGUAGUAGAAUUUCCGGUGUAGCGGUGAAAUGCGUAGAGAUCGGAAGGAAUACCAGUGGCGAAGGCGGCUACCUGGACAGAUACUGACACUGAGGCGCGAAAGCGUGGGGAGCAAACAGGAUUAGAUACCCUGGUAGUCCACGCUGUAAACGAUGAAGACUAGAUGUUGUUCAGCUUGACUGAUUAGUAUCGAAGCUAACGCGAUAAGUCUUCCGCCUGGGGAGUACGGCCGCAAGGUUAAA
This 331-nucleotide ribosomal RNA is filed under the name uncultured Pseudomonadota bacterium. Its description in RNAcentral is "bacterial SSU rRNA". It matches the Rfam family "Bacterial small subunit ribosomal RNA", at positions 568 to 898 of the family's 1533-position model. The record is from RNAcentral. Lineage: Bacteria; Pseudomonadati; Pseudomonadota.